RNAcentral lists this ribosomal RNA (274 nucleotides) under uncultured bacterium. RNAcentral's name for it is "partial 16S ribosomal RNA". It matches the Rfam family "Bacterial small subunit ribosomal RNA", at positions 523 to 796 of the family's 1533-position model. The record is from RNAcentral.
AUACGGAGGGUGCAAGCGUUAUCCGGAUUUACUGGGUUUAAAGGGUACGCAGGCGGUAAUUUAAGUCAGUGGUGAAAGCCUACAGCUCAACUGUAGAACUGCCAUUGAAACUGAAUUACUUGAGUAUGUUAGAGGUAGGCGGAAUACAACAUGUAGCGGUGAAAUGCAUGGAUAUGUUGUAGAACACCGAUUGCGAAGGCAGCUUACUAAACCAUUACUGACGCUCAUGUACGAAAGCGUGGGGAGCGAACAGAAUUAGAUACCCUAGUAGUCC